Molecule: long non-coding RNA, 1099 nt
Filed under: Cricetulus griseus (Chinese hamster)
Lineage: Eukaryota; Metazoa; Chordata; Mammalia; Rodentia; Cricetidae
Description: lncRNA (ENSCGRG00015038669.1)
Source: RNAcentral
CACACACACACACACACACACACACACACACACACACACACACACAGUGGGGGAGGAUAUACCAUAUUCCACUAUAGCAUUAAGGCUGGAUGAAGACAUGACAAGUCCCCAAAACUAGAGCUGUGGGUGAUAAGUUAAAGUGGUAAAGAAAUAGGUUGAGUCUCUACAGUUCAGCUAUGAGGGAACCGUAGGCACUUGCUUGGAGGAAAACCUGCUAACAUCCGGACAGUUGCACCCUCAUCCAGAAAGGACAACAACAGCGAAAAGCCUUGACAAGGAAUUAUGAACUUGGAACUCUUCCCAUCAACUGAGCUGGCUCGGCUUCUUGCAACAUCUCUGCCCCAAAGGGGCGACAGUGAGGAAAGAGGAAUUGCUUCCAUCCAAAGCUCUGCUUCUUAGUCCCACUGGAGUCAUCACAGCUCCUGCUUCUCUCCCUUCCCGCCUCUGUUCAUGCACGUCCACUUCUUGUAGUCUGGAAGUGACAAGUGAUGAAUCAAGGCGUCUCCAGUAUCCAGCCUGCACUGGGAAAUGGCAAAAAUGUGACUCAACCUCACAUCUUCUGAGAACUGUGUGCGCGAUGCCCCCAGUCAGAGGGGCGCUGGAGGACUAAAUGAAAUCAUCGCCUUUUCCCGUUUCCCAGACUCCCCAGCUGCGGAGGGGACAACUCUGACAUUUGGCACAGAGGAAGUGAGGAUAAAAAUAAUGCCCCUCAUAAAGAAAGCUAGGCAGGAGCUUCACAGAGUUCAAAGUCCCCCUGACUAAAGACCAGAUUCCAGAAGCCUCCAGAGGCUGACCCACAUCUCCUGGUCCAUAGUCCCCUGAGCCCAUGAUCAAACCCAGCAUGUCUGAUUUCUCCGGCUAUUCCUCUGUAGUUGUUUCUUGCUCUGGCUUCAGCCAAGAAAGUCCUCUGUUUUCACUUCCGCUUGGAUGGUCCUCAGUCUCUUCAACCCGGGAUCCUCAGCUAUUAGCAACCUGCAAUAUCUCUUCGCCAGGCAAGGGGGCAUCGUCAUGGGGUAAAAUGGUUGUUUGGGACAUUUUUGACUGUCCGUUAUGAGAAUUCUUAGGGUCAAACAAAGCAAUAUAGGGCUGAUGCGAUGCC